RNAcentral lists this RNase P RNA (387 nucleotides) under Actinosynnema sp. ALI-1.44. Its description in RNAcentral is "RNase P RNA component class A". It matches the Rfam family "Bacterial RNase P class A". Rfam says of the family: Ribonuclease P (RNase P) is a ubiquitous endoribonuclease, found in archaea, bacteria and eukarya as well as chloroplasts and mitochondria. Its best characterised activity is the generation of mature 5'-ends of tRNAs by cleaving the 5'-leader elements of precursor-tRNAs. Lineage: Bacteria; Bacillati; Actinomycetota; Actinomycetes; Pseudonocardiales; Pseudonocardiaceae. The record is from RNAcentral.
CGAGUCGGCAGGGCGGCCGCGGCGAGCGAGAGCACGUCGAGGAAAGUCCGGACUCCACAGGGCAGGGUGGUUGCUAACGGCAACCCGAGGCGACUCGCGGGACAGUGCCACAGAAAGCAGACCGCCUUGGCCGCAAGGCCGAGGUAAGGGUGAAACGGUGGUGUAAGAGACCACCAGCACCCCGGGUGACCGGGGUGGCUAGGUAAACCCCACCCGGAGCAAGGCCAAGAGGGCGCCCCCGGGCGCCUGCGCAGGCGACAAGGGCUGCCCGCCCAAGCCUGCGGGUAGGCCGCACGAGCCUGUCGGCAACGGCAGGCCUAGAUGGAUGGCCGCCACCUGGGCCCACCAGCCCAGGUACAGAAUCCGGCUUAUACGUCGGCUCGUCCG